CACGGGGGGAGCAAGCGUUGUUCGGAAUCACUGGGCGUAAAGGGCGCGUAGGCGGCCAGCGCAAGUCAGUUGUGAAAUCUCCGAGCUUAACUCGGAAAGGUCAACUGAUACUGCGCGGCUAGAGUGCGGAAGGGGCAACUGGAAUUCUUGGUGUAGCGGUGAAAUGCGUAGAUAUCAAGAGGAACACCUGCGGCGAAGGCGGGUUGCUGGGCCGACACUGACGCUGAUGCGCGAAAGCCAGGGGAGCGAACGGG
RNAcentral lists this ribosomal RNA (254 nucleotides) under uncultured bacterium. RNAcentral describes it as "partial 16S ribosomal RNA". It matches the Rfam family "Bacterial small subunit ribosomal RNA", at positions 524 to 776 of the family's 1533-position model. The record is from RNAcentral.